This 512-nucleotide ribosomal RNA is filed under the name uncultured Chloroflexota bacterium. RNAcentral's name for it is "bacterial SSU rRNA". It matches the Rfam family "Bacterial small subunit ribosomal RNA", at positions 369 to 896 of the family's 1533-position model. Lineage: Bacteria; Bacillati; Chloroflexota. The record is from RNAcentral.
CAAUGGGCGAAAGCCUGACCCAGCAACGCCGCGUGUGUGAUGAAGGCCUUCGGGUCGUAAAGCACUUUUCUGGGAGAUGAGAAAGGACAGUAUCCCAGGAAUAAGUCUCGGCUAACUACGUGCCAGCAGCCGCGGUAAAACGUAGGAGGCGAGCGUUAUCCGGAUUCACUGGGCGUAAAGCGCGUGCAGGUGGCGCGGUAAGUUGGGCGUGAAAUCUCCCGGCUCAACUGGGAGAGGUCGUCCAAUACUACCGUGCUUGAGAGCAGAAGAGGAAGAUGGAAUUCCCGGUGUAGUGGUGAAAUGCGUAGAUAUCGGGAGGAACACCAGUGGCGAAGGCGAUCUUCUGGUCUGUUUCUGACACUCAGACGCGACAGCUAGGGUAGUAAACGGGAUUAGAGACCCCGGUAAUCCUAGCCGUAAACGAUGUGAACUUGGCGUUGGUGGGUUAAACUCCAUCAGUGCCGUAGCAAACGCGAUAAGUUCACCGCCUGGGGACUACGGCUGCAAGGUUA